This 192-nucleotide long non-coding RNA is filed under the name Callithrix jacchus (white-tufted-ear marmoset). Its description in RNAcentral is "lncRNA (ENSCJAG00000080100.1)". Lineage: Eukaryota; Metazoa; Chordata; Mammalia; Primates; Cebidae. The record is from RNAcentral.
CUUUCAGCCUCCUGGGAGCCUGGUCAUGACCCACAGAGACCACACCAGCUGUGGCCAGAGGGAUGGCCUGUGGCAAGGUAGCUGGUGCCUGCGCAAGCCUAUGAGAGCGUCGUGUCUGUGGAUACCCAGAAUAAACUCUGAGCACAGCUGUCUGAAGCAGGAGUUCUGAUCCAGGAAACUCAGAUGGACAGU